CCCAUUUGCCCACUAAAUUAUUGGCCACUCUUUCUUCCCAAUUCUGAUUACAAGAUAAUUAUUAACCUCUUGACCUAUAAUCUCAACUCUUGACUACCAUAAUUUACUUAGAUCAGUUUGUCUUAGUGCCUACUAGACAGAAGUAUUAGAACACCCAUCACAAAAAAAACUGUGUCUUGUAUGUUAGGUCUAAGGCAUUCAACCAUCUCAAGUAGCCUUAUCUUUUCAAUGUCUUCAAACUAUUUGGUUUCUGAAUCUCUGGGCUUCAACCAUUUAAUAAUUUAGAAGAUGCAGUUUUACAGAAAUACAG
Molecule: non-coding RNA, 310 nt
Organism: Pelobates cultripes (western spadefoot toad)
Lineage: Eukaryota; Metazoa; Chordata; Amphibia; Anura; Pelobatidae
Source: the annotation of a GenBank genome assembly